AGUGAACGCUGGCGGUAGGCCUAACACAUGCAAGUCGAACGGCAGCACAGUAAGAGCUCGCUCUUACGGGUGGCGCGUGGCGGCCGGGUGAGGAAUACAUCGGAACCUACUUUUUCGUGGGGGAUAACGUAGGGAAACUUACGCUAAUACCGCAUACGACCUACGGGUGAAAGCAGGGGAUCUUCGGACCUUGCGCGAUUGAAUGAGCCGAUGCGGGGUUAGCUAGUUGGCGGGGUAAAGGCCCACCAAGGCGACGAUUCGUAGGUGGUCUGAGGGGAUGAACAGCCACACUGGAACUGAGACACGGUCCAGACUCCGGCGGGGGGCAGCAGUGGGGAAUAUUAGACGAGGGGGGCGAGCCUGAUCCAGCCAUACCGCGUGGAUGAAGAAGGCGUUCGGGUUGGAAAGCCCUUUUGUUGGGAAAGAAAAGCAGCAGGUUAAUACCCCGCUGUUCUGACGGUACCCAAAGAAUAAGCACCGGCUAACUUCGUG
This 492-nucleotide ribosomal RNA is filed under the name uncultured bacterium. RNAcentral's name for it is "partial 16S ribosomal RNA". It matches the Rfam family "Bacterial small subunit ribosomal RNA", at positions 29 to 507 of the family's 1533-position model. The record is from RNAcentral.